GGACUGCAUUCAGCUCACAUCUGCUCCAUAUCUGCUUGCGCAUCUGGCACGUUUCUUGCGGUGACUCCAGGGACAGUUUGAACUGAAGGAACGACUCUUCUUGACUAUUAAAAGACACGGGGCGUGCUUAUGAAAAAGAUGGAAAACGGGAGAUGGGUUAUGGAUGAACGGACAGAAAAGAGGAGCUUUUGUAAGCCAGUGCUCAAACCAUCCACCUUCUGGUCAUGAGUCCUGAGCUGAAAGCACAAGACCACACCACAUAUCCGAGCCCAUUUUCGGGAUGACCUUUUAAAUGCACUUUUAAAUGUGCUUUGUGAUCAGCAGCUGUCAUUACCAGAAUGGUAAUAGCAUUCCCUUGUGGAAAAGACAUUGCUGUCAUAAUGGAUUUAAAAUGUCUCAUUAUGAUAGAAGAGGACUAAACAAACAUAUUGUCUGUUGUUACUAUUGGUGAUACAGAGGAGGGGAGGGGCGUCAUAUUGCCUCCAACAGUGAUGAUGAUUUUGGGGGCUAUAUUUAGAUUCUCACAGUUGGAACUCCCUGCAUGCAAAGUCACCAGUGUCAUGCUUUUAAGGAGAAUCCAAAUACAAAAUAAAGGAAU
Long non-coding RNA from Myxocyprinus asiaticus (Chinese sucker), 598 nucleotides. RefSeq lists it as uncharacterized. NCBI's taxonomy places the organism in Eukaryota, Metazoa, Chordata, Actinopteri, Cypriniformes, Catostomidae. The record is from RefSeq and is a predicted model, not a curated record. The transcript is spliced from 3 exons.